GAUGAACGCUGGCGGCGUGCCUAAUACAUGCAAGUCGAGCGAACGGACGAGAAGCUUGCUUCUCUGAUGUUAGCGGCGGACGGGUGAGUAACACGUGGAUAACCUACCUAUAAGACUGGGAUAACUUCGGGAAACCGGAGCUAAUACCGGAUAAUAUUUUGAACCGCAUGGUUCAAUAGUGAAAGACGGUCUUGCUGUCACCUAUAGAUGGAUCCGCGCUGCAUUAGCUAGUUGGUAAGGUAACGGCUUACCAAGGCAACGAUGCAUAGCCGACCUGAGAGGGUGAUCGGCCAAAAUGGAACUGAGAAAAGGGCCAGACUCCUAAGGGAGGCAGCAGUAGGGAAUCUUCCGCAAUGGGCGAAAGCCUGACGGAGCAAAGCCGCGUGAGUGAUGAAGGUCUUCGGAUCGUAAAACUCUGUUAUUAGGGAAGAACAUAUGUGUAAGUAACUGUGCACAUCUUGACGGUACCUAAUCAGAAAGCCACGGCUAACUACGUG
RNAcentral lists this ribosomal RNA (497 nucleotides) under uncultured bacterium. Its description in RNAcentral is "partial 16S ribosomal RNA". It matches the Rfam family "Bacterial small subunit ribosomal RNA", at positions 28 to 507 of the family's 1533-position model. The record is from RNAcentral.